CAUAUAGUAACUACUUAAUAAAUGCUUACUGACUGACAGAUGAGAAAUAUCUUUCACACCUCCAUCCAAGAAACUCUUGAUUGUUAGGUAUUUAACCUCAGAAGAUGGUUCAGAGAAAUCCAAGUGUUUUCAAUUACUCCAACCCACUAUAACCUGCAUAGCAUUUUCAGAAAGGGCACACACAAACUCCCAAGAGCUCAUGAUAUCCUUGAUAUCCUUUUCCGCUAUCGUCUAAUUGGGGAGGGAGGAUACUGCAUCCCGCAGUGUGCCUCCGAGGUCCCUCCUACUUCCUGGUGUGGGAUUGGUCUUGAAUGGACCAAUCCCAUGCUGGGGGGAGGCACCACACCCCCCUACUUCGGUGUGGGAUUGAUCUUGAAUUGGACCAAUCCCAUGCUAGAGGGGCCACGCCCCUUACUUCUGGGCAUGGGAUUGGCUGAGGAACUCUAAGAUGCAGUUCCCCCCCACACACAUUUUGAAACUCACAACCCCCAAAGCCUAGCCAUCAACUGCUUUCUUAUCAACUAUACUUUUUAAUAAUCACACCCAAAGCUUCCUCUGGGAAAGAGUGCAAUCACCUUCUGCCUAUUCCUCCUCCUCCUUUCUAUAGCACCUAUUUGCAUAACAAGUAUUUUCCCAAACCACAGCUGCCCUAAUUGCCUGCUCAAAUUACAUCAGUUGAUUAGCCCACACCUAUAAUAUUGUAUGACUGGAGGUGGGGAAGAGGCCCUGGAAGGGGAAGGAGAAGAACCAAACCAUGAGUAAGCCCAUUCAGGAGAGGUUUCACCCAAAAGGAAAAAGAAAGCGCUAAGAGUUCCUGCAGGAAGUACCACAAGAAUAUGGUCUUCAACUGAGCACUUCUUUUAUGCCUAAUACCCACCAUUCUACACCCCAGGAAUAUAAAGACAAGGAAAAAAAUGAAACAAUUGUUACAUUCAGGAAGCUUACCUUUAUUAGGGAAGACCAACAGUCUGAAGAGCAAACGUUUUGAUAGAGAAAACAGAAGAAAGAAGAAUUGAGACUGCUUUCAUUCUAUUGUGUGUAACACCUAGAGAAGUCUUGGAAGUUCCCUCUGUCAAAGAAAUCACAGGUCUAGUUUCUAUCUCUUUGUAUGUAAAAAAUUCUUAACAAGUUUUAUUAUAUUUGUAUAAAGAUA
Molecule: non-coding RNA, 1153 nt
Organism: Monodelphis domestica (gray short-tailed opossum)
Lineage: Eukaryota; Metazoa; Chordata; Mammalia; Didelphimorphia; Didelphidae
Source: RefSeq, a predicted model, not a curated record